GACGAACGCUGGCGGCGUGCCUAAUACAUGCAAGUCGAGCGGACGUUUUUGAAGCUUGCUUUAAAAACGUUAGCGGCGGACGGGUGAGUAACACGUGGGCAACCUACCUUAUCGACUGGGAUAACUCCGGGAAACCGGGGCUAAUACCGGAUAACAUCUAGCACCUCCUGGUGCCGGAUUGAAAGAGGGCUUCUUGCUCUCACGAUAAGCUGGGCCCGGGGCGCAUUAGCUAGUUGGAGAGGUAAUGGCUCCCCAAGGCGACGAUGCGUAGCCGACCUGGGAGGGUGAUCGGCCACACUGGGACUGAGACACGGCCCAGACUCCUACGGGAGGCAGCAGUAGGGAAUCUUCCGCAAUGGACGAAAGUCUGACGGAGCAACGCCGCGUGAGUGAUGAAGGGUUUCGGCUCGUAAAGCUCUGUUAUGAGGGAAGAACACGUACCGUUCGAAUAGGGCGGUACCUUGACGGUACCUCAUCAGAAAGCCACGGCUAACUACGUGCCAGCAGCCGCCGUAA
Molecule: ribosomal RNA, 516 nt
Filed under: uncultured bacterium
Lineage: Bacteria
Description: partial 16S ribosomal RNA
Rfam family: Bacterial small subunit ribosomal RNA
Source: RNAcentral